UGCAGUCGAACGAAGUAGCAAUACUUAGUGGCAGACGGGUGAGUAACAUGUGGGUAUCUACCCUUUGGCCUGGAAUAACACGAGGAAACUUGUGCUAAUACCGGAUAAGUCUUUACGGAGAAAGCUUUAUGCACCAUUGGAUGAGCCCGCACUUGAUUAGUUUGUUGGUAGGGUAAUGGCCUACCAAGACUAUGAUCAAUAGCUGAUUUGAGAGGAUGAUCAGCCACAUUGGGACUGAGACACGGCCCAAACUCCUACGGGAGGCAGCAGUGGGGAAUCUUGCACAAUGGAGGAAACUCUGAUGCAGCGAUGCCGCGUGAGUGAAGAAGGCCCUUGGGUUGUAAAGCUCUUUCGUCGGGGAAGAAAAUGACUGUACCCGAAUAAGAAGGUCCGGCUAACUUCGUGCCAGCAGCCGCGGUAAUACGAAGGGACCUAGCGUAGUUCGGAAUUACUGGGCUUAAAGAGUUCGUAGGUGGUUGAAAAAGUUAGUGGUGAAAUCCCAGAGCUUAACUCUGGAACUGCCAUUAAAACUUUUCAGCUAGAGUAUGAUAGAGGAAAGCAGAAUUUCUAGUGUAGAGGUGAAAUUCGUAGAUAUUAGAAAGAAUACCAAUUGCGAAGGCAGCUUUCUGGAUCAUUACUGACACUGAGGAACG
Molecule: ribosomal RNA, 653 nt
Filed under: uncultured bacterium
Lineage: Bacteria
Description: bacterial SSU rRNA
Rfam family: Bacterial small subunit ribosomal RNA
Source: RNAcentral